This 400-nucleotide unclassified non-coding RNA is filed under the name soil metagenome. Its description in RNAcentral is "partial contains 5.8S ribosomal RNA, internal transcribed spacer 2, and large subunit ribosomal RNA". The stretch from base 1 to 122 matches the Rfam family "5.8S ribosomal RNA", at positions 35 to 154 of the family's 154-position model. The record is from RNAcentral.
GAUGAAGAACGUAGCGAAAUGCGAUACUUGGUGUGAAUUGCAGAAUCCCGUGAACCAUCGAGUCUUUGAACGCAAGUUGCGCCCCAAGCCAUUAGGUUGAGGGCACGUCUGCCUGGGCGUCACAUAUCGUUGCCUGAUGCCAGUUUCCUCGUGAUGGGUGACUGUGCAGGGCGAAUGAUGGCUUCCCGUGAGCAUUGUUGCCUCAUGGUUGGUUGAAAAUUGAGUCCUUGGUAGGGAGCGCCGUGAUAGAUGGUGGUUGAGUGACGAACGAGACCCAAUCAUGUGAGACCCCUACCGAAUUUGGCCUUCAUGACCCACAUGCGUCUUUGGAACGCUCAUGACGAGACCUCAGGUCAGGCGGGGCUACCCGCUGAGUUUAAGCAUAUCAAUAAGCGGAGGA